GUCGCCGCCGCCGCUACCGUGGCCGAUGGAGGGGCCGCCGCCGCACGCACGGGCGUCAGGCGCCCGCCGCCGGCGCCGUACGUGGGGCUCACCUGCAUGAACACAUUCAGCGUUAAGGUGCGUGCCGGGUCGAGUGUUGAACGUUGAAAAAAGCCUGGAUGCAAGGCUACACCCGGACAUGCGUUCGGCUCUUGGGAGGCUAAACGGCCGCUUGCAUUGUCACACAUACGCACCCGCGAGGCUUGCCAUCAACGCACACUCACCUGAAUUGCUUUCUUUGUCUUGCGUGCCCAUCCACCCGGUGGGUGCAUACAGGUCCACAACCCCACCGGUAGUCACGAGUCGUACGCCCGUCGCCUCGCCGCCGCCAUGGCACCAAUGCUGCUGCGCACCGCCAGCACCUCACUAGCCGGCGCCGACAUUCACGCCAACAGCAGCAACACCUGCGACGAAAACAGCAUUGGCAACGCCAGCGGCAGAAAUCAAGGUGACAGCGCACAAGUCGAUAGUCAGCCGCCGCCCCGUGUGCUGCCGGCCCGCCUGCCCCGGUCGCCCCGCCCCAGCAGCAGCAGUACCCACACGCCGUUCCAGGCUUACCAGCAGCACCGUCAGCAAAGCGUAGAGCUAGCGCUGGACCCCGCCACCACUCCUGCUGCGACUGCAGCUGCCUCCACCAGCAUC
This 681-nucleotide long non-coding RNA is filed under the name Chlamydomonas reinhardtii. RNAcentral's name for it is "long non-coding RNA (CREI_LNC000033)". Lineage: Eukaryota; Viridiplantae; Chlorophyta; Chlorophyceae; Chlamydomonadales; Chlamydomonadaceae. The record is from RNAcentral.